UACGAAGGGGGCGAGCGUUGUUCGGAAUUACUGGGCGUAAAGGGCGCGUAGGCGGCGACCCAAGUCAGAUGUGAAAGUCCUGGGCUUAACCUGGGGACUGCAUUUGAUACUGGGUUGCUUGAAUUCGGGAGAGGAUAGCGGAAUUCCCAGUGUAGAGGUGAAAUUCGUAGAUAUUCGGAAGAACACCAGUGGCGAAGGCGGCUCACUGGACUGGUAUUGACGCUGAGGUGCGAAAGCGUGGGGAGCAAACAGG
This 253-nucleotide ribosomal RNA is filed under the name uncultured bacterium. RNAcentral's name for it is "partial 16S ribosomal RNA". It matches the Rfam family "Bacterial small subunit ribosomal RNA", at positions 524 to 776 of the family's 1533-position model. The record is from RNAcentral.